ACUGUGAUCACCGUCCAUGGCCGCCUGCGGAUACCCACGCCGUGCUCAGAAGAGGGCUCUGAGGCCACGCCCGCCUGUGGGGUCGGUGGCCGGGCUUCCGGGACCCCAGAGGGAGUCGUCGCGCGCUAGGUGGAGGGGACCCCUCUGGAAUCCGGCGAUCCCCGGGCGCAGAUGCAGGAGCGGGUGGGGAGAGCCGCGUUCCUGGCAUGUUUGCCUCGAGUUAGUCACGAAGGAAUCGAAGAGAGCCUUAGUCUUCGAGGCUUUUCCCUUCCUGUGAGCCCCUUUGAGGCCAGCACAUUGAUUUUUUUUUCUUUCGCAGAACAAUUUCGGACCUCCUGGGGUCUAUGCUAGGUAUGAGGUGUAUCUUUGCCCUCCAUCAAGUAGCAAAGAUGGACAUGUAAACAAAUUUCGACACUGUGAUGACUGCCACAAAAAGCAGCAUUAUGAGGUUGAAUGUAAAAGGAUAACCUUAGCGGCGGCGGGGGCCGGAGGAUGAAGGAAGGCUUCCUGAGGUAGGCGCUGGUUGAAACUGAAGUUGGAGAGAGCAAGUGGCAUUUGCUGAAGUGCAUUUCCGGUAGAAAACUCCAGUGGUCCCUCACCUGACUGAGUGGCGCAGUCAGAGAUAAAUGGAACAGGUACACUGACCAGAAAGGGCAAGAUGGGCUAAACUUCGCCGUUGGGCCACUGGGCUCCCCCGCAGGAUUUUAAAGAGCUAGCCAGUAGAUGGAUUUUGUUUUUGUUAUUUUCGCAAUUUAUUUUCAAAUAUGUAAUACGCGAACUUGGUACAACAUUCAUGUGAUAAAAAGGUAGAUACGUGGGCAGGACGCGGUGGCUCACGCCUGUAAUCCCAGCAUUUUGGGAGGCCGAGAUGGGCGGAUCAUUUGCUGUCAGGAGUUCGAGACCAGCCUGGCCAACAUGAGUCUACAAAUAAACAUUUUAUAAAGAUGAUCCUUCAAUACAUAUUCUACAGCCCAGUUAAAAUGUGAGAGGCCAUGAUCUACAGACAGCCAUUUAUAAAGGUGGAUCAGGGCCGGACACGGUGGCUCAACGUCUGUAAUCCCGGCACUGUGGGAGGCCAAAGCGGGAGGAUCGCUUGAGCCCAGGAGUUCGAGACCAACCUGGCCAACAUGCUUUAUGUGAUUGACACAGACAUGGAAGAGAUCUGGUCCUUAUGAAGAAUUCUGUGCUCGCAGGAAAGAUCUGUAGGAAUAAUGAAAUGCUUUCUUCAUUGAUGAGAUGAAGUCUCUGUUUUUCAGAUAAAGAAAAGAGAGGAUAAUGGGAAGACAAAACAUUGUAUUAAGGUAGAAGGAAGCUGGAUAAAUUGUCUCUGUAAAUUAUCUUAAAUUUUGUAUUAACAAAUUUAAAAUGACUCAAAUAAAAUAACAAAGAAAAAUAUAUUAAUUUGGCCUCAAGGAAUUUUCUCAAGCCAUAAAAAAUUUUCUUAGUUUAUUUCUUUACGGAAGUAUCUUAUGCUUGAUCAGCUGACUUAAAGGAACUCUCCUAGUGUGGGACUGAAAACAACUUUAUCAUUGAUAAAAGAUGAUUAGUUUAAAAAGUUGGUUUUUAUUAUUGAAGUGCCCACAGGCACAAGAGUAUAGGUGCUUACAUUUCCCUUUAGAUUAUGGGAAAGCCCUUUUGAGAAUGCACUAAAUCAGGAAAUCUUUCAGCAAUCAGAAUGCAUGCUGAAAGUUCAGAUCUUUUAAGUUUUGGGUUUCGCUGUUUGAGCAUAAAAAGGAAGGGAGCAGGGAGAAAUGUAACUAGGUUCACAAUUUUGAGCAAGAGCAUAUGUAAAGGUAACGUAUGUACAUUUUAUUUCAAGAAAGACAGAAGACAAACAGCAUAAAGAUGCCCAGAUGCCCUAAAGAUAAAUACAUUUCAAAGAUUCUCAUUAAAAUGAAUCUGUAGUAUUUUUUUCCUGCAAGCAAAAUACCUUUCUUUAAAUAAAAUUAAAAAAAUCAGUAUUCUGAAUUGCAAAUGCUUUUGUUUUUUUUUUGCAGAAAAUCUGCCAUGAUUAUUUUUUUAAUGAAUAAGGAUUUUCCACAAAACAGGCUUGCUCUACAUGCUAGAUUUUUAAACAGUUCAGUGACACAAUAUGCUAACUACAUACACAACAGAUAAUAUAGUAAGAAAACACUCAACCUGAUGAAAAGUUAAAAUCUUCAUUAAUACACUGAAAAUUGACAUAACUCAUGCCUUUAAAAUCAAAAAUACAAAAAUUAAAUGUUUUCCUAAAAAGAUUUCCUUAUUUUAAGGAUUCAUUUGAAAAUGAAGCUGCAUGUAAUUUGUACAGUAAGUUGUACAAGUAAACAGGUAAUAUACAUAAAAAAUUAAUUGACAUACUCCUCAAUUAUCAGUUGUCCACCUUUAAUUUCCAAUACUGUACUUUCUUAACAAGCAUACAAAAUAUCAAACUUCUCUUUAGAAAAAGUGCCGUUCUUUGACAUCCUUUACACAAAAACAGUCUGAGCCUGUGGCAUGUUAAUGCAGUUGAGAGGCAAAGCAUACGAACUUUUACAAAUUCUACCUUCCAUAAAAAGCCUCCCGAAAAGGAGAUUACACGCCACUAUAAAAAUAUCAACCUCUUGUGGUAGCUGCAUUAGAGAACCAAGGCUUGAAGACUAUUUUCAUAUAGCAUAGAAAAACCACUAUGAGAGCAUAUUAACUGCAUUGGUGGCUUGGGAGUGUACUGUGCCACAGGAUUAUGCAUAGCUACUGUUAGGUACCAAGACUGUUAUACAGUUUUAAAUUGAUUGUAACUGAGAGCAUAACAGAGGUACUACCAGCCCAUGCAAAAUAACUAAAAAUACUGAGUCACUGUGCUGAAUACUUCAUUCCUGGAGAAAACCAAAGGCAGCAGUAACUAAAUCAAGCCAAACAGGUGACCAAACUUUCUCCUCAAAGAUUUGUGAGCACAGUGAAGUCUGAGGUAUACCUUUAUCCAUUAAAUCUGUGUGCCAUUGCAAGAUAUUACCAUUUGAGAAUAUACGCCAUCACAAUGGUUUAAAUCUUUUGUAUAUUAGUCAUUCAUAUAUUCUUAUCUACCCAGUCUCUUGAUUUUUGAAAAGAUUUCACCUACAGUAGAAUAUUACAGAAACAAAAUAUAAAUGCAUGUCUUUCUAAAUGAAACUUACAUAGACUAAAAGUAGAGAAUAUUUUUAAACAAAUAUACAAUGUGCAGGCAGACAAAGCAGGAAAACGGCCAUUCAAAUGUAUAAUAAAAAACUAAAAAUUGACUAUCUCCAGAAAACUAUGAAGCGCCUCAACUAAAAGGAAUGCAUAAUGAAAUUCUAAUCUAAUACAGGUCAAAAAUGUAAAAAGGUUAUAAACCUUAACAGGAAAAAUAAAACAACUUUUACUGGCCAUUCCUGUUGAAAUGAGAAUCAUAAAGUAACAGAAAAGUGGCUACAAACCCACUUAGAGCACCAAACAGAGAGAAAAUAAAAGUCCAUUUUCAUCUCUGUUAUUAUCAUAAAAUCCUGUGUGACUACAGGUCAAACUGCUGGUGGCAGAAACAGAAUUCUUUAUAAACUGCAGAUGUCCUGUACAUAAAAAAUUUCACUGGAGUUGCACUAGUUCUAAAGACUCUUCUGUUUUAGCCUACCUACUAUAUGUAUUCGAUCUGAGAUAGAUAAAGUCUCUUUCUGUAACCCUUAAUUAUUAUUGGGCACCAAAGAUAAGAAAAGCAAGACGGGGUACAAAAAUGCAAAAUUUCAACAGUAAUGGCAAUGUUUUUGUCUUAGUCCAAAAGGGUCCUGCAUUCUCUCCCCCUUCAGUGAUUUGACAAGUCUUUGUACUUAAUCUGGGGGCAGCAAAUCAUGCAAGCGAAAUCUGUCUCUGAUGUGUGGUCGAACAUCUUCAUUCUGCGUGGAAAAAAGACAAUUUUUAAAAAGGCAUAAAAUUUCAAAGAUAU
Molecule: long non-coding RNA, 3910 nt
Filed under: Homo sapiens (human)
Lineage: Eukaryota; Metazoa; Chordata; Mammalia; Primates; Hominidae
Description: non-protein coding EIF3J-DT:39
Source: RNAcentral